RNAcentral lists this ribosomal RNA (258 nucleotides) under uncultured bacterium. Its description in RNAcentral is "partial 16S ribosomal RNA". It matches the Rfam family "Bacterial small subunit ribosomal RNA", at positions 524 to 777 of the family's 1533-position model. The record is from RNAcentral.
UACGGAGGGUGCAAGCGUUGUUCGGAAUCACUGGGCGUAAAGGGCGUGUAGGCGGUCCGCUAAGUCUGAUGUGAAAGCCCGGGGCUCACCCCCGGAAGGGCAUUGGAAACUGGCGGACUCGAGUCUCGGAGAGGAAGGUGGAAUUCCGUGGUGAUAGACGGUGAAAUGCGUAGAUAUCAGGAGGAACACCGGUGGCGAAGGCGGAUCUCUGGGCCGAUACUGACGCUGGAGGAGCGAAAGCGUGGGGAGCGAACAGGA